GUCUGUAUUCAUACUGAAAAUCAAGAUCAAACGAGCUUUUGCCCUUCUGCUCCACUGGAGGUUUCUGUCCUCCCUGAGCUCGCCUUAGGACCUCCCUAAGGCGUCCGUGUAGGAAAAGAGUGU
Xiphophorus couchianus (Monterrey platyfish) is the source of this 123-nucleotide long non-coding RNA. RefSeq lists it as uncharacterized. NCBI's taxonomy places the organism in Eukaryota, Metazoa, Chordata, Actinopteri, Cyprinodontiformes, Poeciliidae. The record is from RefSeq and is a predicted model, not a curated record. The transcript is spliced from 3 exons.